This 440-nucleotide ribosomal RNA is filed under the name uncultured bacterium. Its description in RNAcentral is "partial 16S ribosomal RNA". It matches the Rfam family "Bacterial small subunit ribosomal RNA", at positions 338 to 795 of the family's 1533-position model. The record is from RNAcentral.
CCUACGGGAGGCAGCAGUAGGGAAUAUUGCUCAAUGGGGGAAACCCUGAAGCAGCAACGCCGCGUGGAGGAUGAAGGUUUUCGGAUUGUAAACUCCUUUUGUUAGAGAAGAUAAUGACGGUAUCUAACGAAUAAGCACCGGCUAACUCCGUGCCAGUAGCCGCGGGAAUACGGAGGGUGCAAGCGUUACUCGGAAUCACUGGGCGUAAAGAGCGCGUAGGCGGGAUAGCAAGUCAGAUGUGAAAUCCUAUGGCUUAACCAUAGAACUGCAUUUGAAACUGUUAUUCUAGAGUAUGGGAGAGGUAGGUGGAAUUCUUGGUGUAGGGGUAAAAUCCGUAGAGAUCAAGAGGAAUACUCAUUGCGAAGGCGACCUGCUAGAACAUAACUGACGCUGAUGCGCGAAAGCGUGGGGAGCAAACAGGAUUAGAUACCCCAGGAGUC